CAGUCGCCGCGGUAAUACAGAGGGUGCGAGCGUUAAUCGGAUUUACUGGGCGUAAAGCGUGCGUAGGCGGCUAAUUGAGUUGGAUGUGAAAUCCCCGAGCUUAACUUGGGAAUUGCAUUCGAUACUGGUUAGCUAGAGUGUGGGAGAGGAUGGUAGAAUUCCAGGUGUAGCGGUGAAAUGCGUAGAGAUCUGGAGGAAUACCGAUGGCGAAGGCAGCCAUCUGGCCUAACACUGACGCUGAGGUACGAAAGCAUGGGGAGCAAACAGGAUUAGAUACCCGUGUAGUCCCUGUCUCUUAUAC
Molecule: ribosomal RNA, 301 nt
Filed under: uncultured bacterium
Lineage: Bacteria
Description: partial 16S ribosomal RNA
Rfam family: Bacterial small subunit ribosomal RNA
Source: RNAcentral